This 450-nucleotide ribosomal RNA is filed under the name uncultured bacterium. Its description in RNAcentral is "partial 16S ribosomal RNA". It matches the Rfam family "Bacterial small subunit ribosomal RNA", at positions 354 to 796 of the family's 1533-position model. The record is from RNAcentral.
GUGGGGAAUAUUGGACAAUGGGCGAAAGCCUGAUCCAGCCAUGCCGCGUGUGUGAAGAAGGUCUUCGGAUUGUAAAGCACUUUAAGUUGGGAGGAAGGGCAGUAAGUUAAUACCUUGCUGUUUUGACGUUACCGACAGAAUAAGCACCGGCUAACUUCGUGCCAGCAGCCACGGUAAUACGAAGGGUGCAAGCGUUAAUCGGAAUUACUGGGCGUAAAGCGCGCGUAGGUGGUUUUGUAAGUUGGAGGUGAAAUCCCCGGGCUCAACCUGGGAACUGCCUCCAAAACUGCAUGACUAGAGUACGGUAGAGGGUAGUGGAAUUUCCUGUGUAGCGGUGAAAUGCGUAGAUAUAGGAAGGAACACCAGUGGCGAAGGCGACUACCUGGACUGAUACUGACACUGAGGUGCGAAAGCGUGGGGAGCAAACAGGAUUAGAAACCCGUGUAGUCC